RNAcentral lists this unclassified non-coding RNA (4430 nucleotides) under Hevea brasiliensis (rubber tree). The record is from RNAcentral. Lineage: Eukaryota; Viridiplantae; Streptophyta; Magnoliopsida; Malpighiales; Euphorbiaceae.
UGGAGUGCAACCAGUCUUAUCUGGUAUGACUCGUUCGAAAUUCACUAUUUGUCAUGCAAUCUAAUGGCCAUGUCUACCAAAAACACCAUCAUAAGAAGCUAAAGUAUCAAUAAUUUUCAAUAACCAAGUAAUAUGCAUAAUUAAUUAUUAGCAAAAAUAUAGACAAAAUCCUAUCUUUACCCUCUACAAGAGACAAAGAAAUCAAUCAUAAAGCUACAAGCUUUAAAGGUUUCAAAUGAAGAAUAUUUAUUUGAAGGAGGGAAGGGGGUGGGUGGGGGGUUUGGAUAAAAAUUAGUUGAAAUUAAGAUUCUCUCUCCUCGUCAACUGAAAAGGGAAAGACAAAGAAAAAAUGGACAAUUAUAGGCACUAUCAUGUAGUAUUCAAGUUAAAUUUGAUGUUGGAUUGACAAAGAGACAAGCCAGUGAUUUUUUAUUUGGAAAUUCUAAUAAGAUAUAUAUUUGAUAAGGCUCUUUAAACUAUAUAAGUUUUUAUAUAUAUAAAAUUGCAUGUAUGCAUGUAAUUAACUUAGUGAAUCUUACUUUCAUAAUGUCAACAUGAACAAUUGCCUGUUGUUUGGGAUACCUAAAAGCAUUAGCUUUCCCCCAAAUAUAAUAAUAAUAAUACAAAUUUCCAAUGUCUUAAAUAAAACUAUGCAUGUGAAGCAUGUGUUACAUUAGUUAUACUAUAGCAGCUUCCUUUAGCAUCAUGCUAUGUUAGCAUGCAAACUGCAAAAACAUAAAUCAAAUACACAAAAUAACAAUAUUUACGUGGUUCACUCUCUUAACAUAGGAUUAUAUAUACGGGAAUGCCAUCUCAACAUAGCGUGUCUUCAACUGCAAGGGCAAUAGCCCUCUCAUCAAUAGACAAGAAUUCUUUCCUCUUGAAUUCUAUGUCCUUUCUCCACUUUCGGCUGAAGCUUCUUUCUAUGGAUAAAGCCACCCUACAUGAGCAAAGCCACCCCCCAAGCCAAAUAACCUUUUCGCCAUUCUCCAAUUUAUAUGUUAAUUCCAUCAAUUUUAAUAUAAUUAAGAGUCCCACUCAAUUUAGAAAUAAUACUAAAAUAAGAGUUCUAAUUUAUAUAAGAAAUACUCCCAUUUAAAUUAGGAAAUGGUCUUCCAAAUGAAUUAGUAUUUUGGGUCAUAAAUCUAACAAAUAAAAGUACUGAGUUAUUAUCAAUUGGCAUACAUCUGGCAUGAAAUCCACUGGUCUUUCCUUGAAGCUGUCAAUUAUAUUUGCUUUGGAUAGUUUAACAAAUCCAUCCAGACAUAAUAAUGGUGUUUCUAGAGAAACAUAGUUCUGUUUUGCAUAUAUCCGCAUUGCAUAAUAUCUGUGUGUAUAUAUUAAGACAACUUUAAGCAUUCCUCAUGUCAUAUGGAGAAGGGGGACUUUCAUCAGUUUACAAACCAUUGUGGUCAUAUUUACAGAAAAGCAUGAGAAGAAUUAAUCCUUAUAAUUUGCAUGCUAAAUUUGAAUUUUAAAUCUGUCUUCCUCCACUGGACUUGCCUACCUCAAAGUUGAAAUGUUAACCUAUUCAAGUAGUUAAUUUAUUUAUUUAUUUUUCAAAUGAACGGGUUUAUAAGCAAAAGAAGCCCUUGAAAAGUCGGAAAAGGUUUGAAGAACAAAGUGAAUUAGCUUUGUACCAAGAUUUGUAUGGUAACUGGUCUUCAGCUCAGAGCCUAUCUGGUCAAUUCAAGAGCCAAUUUGCACCCACCAUGGUACCUUCCUCUCCUUCAGUUCUUAGUCAACCGAGGCCACUACAAGGACCUGAAUCAUUGCAGUACCAACAGAUUUCAAAUCCAUUAGUGGCCCCUUCUGCCUAUGGGACUGUUACAAAUCCAUAUUCUGCCAUGCCUGUGCUGUCUCACAUUCAGUCUGGGGAAUUUAAGCAGCAAUCCAUGCUUUCUGGUUAUGAAGUUUCUUCAGGUAAUGCAAAUCCUGUAAACAAGUUAGCUGACUUACUGGUAAAACCUCAGACUAUGACUCCUCAGGAAAAAAUUGAAAAAUUAAGGAAACGGCAGCAAAUGCAGGCAAUGCUUGCUAUUCAGAAACAGCAGCAGCAGUUUGGUCAUCAAGUUUCCUGUAGUGAUCAGUCCAUCACUCAAAAAUGUUCCCAAGAAAAUCAAAUUCAGCAUGUUGAGGGAGCAGAUCUAGAAGUGGAGGAUCUAAGCACUCUUCCUGCUUUUGACCCAAACUCACCAGUUGAACAUGAUGAUUCCAAUACAAUCUCUCUGGCAGUUAAUGAUUAUUCAGCAGAGGACACAGUGCUCUACCGGCUUCAAGAUAUUAUUUCAAAGGUAUGCUGACUUUGUUUUCCUGAUAGAGUAAUGUCGACUUAGUUUCAAUGGCAAACCAUGUUUUACCGCAGUUGGAUGCUAGAAUCAGACUUUUUAUGCGGGAUAGCUUGUUCCGGUUGGCUCAAAGUGCAAUGCAAAGGCAUUAUGCUAGUGAUACUGGCAGUACCAACAAUAGUAGCAGGGAUGAGAAAGUUGUCACAAAAGAGGAAACCAGAGGUCAUAACAGGUUGAUUUAUGCGAUUCACUUCUCAUUCUCAUACUUUAUGUAUUCAAACUCUAUGCUGUUUGAUUUCUUUUUUCUUUUUAGUCUUACGAUAAACGUAAAAUGAGGAUCUUUUGUGGUGUUACCAUUUCCUCUUUCCUUUCCAGUUGGUGGUAAAAGUAGUAUAAGAAAUUGGUUGCCAUUUCCAUUUUUAUUGGAUCUCCUAUAAUUAAAUACAUACUACAAUAUCUCCUUUAUCUACUUAAAAAAAUCUUCAUCAAAUUGUAAGUCCUGUUCUGGGAGAUGGCUUAAUAUGUGUGAGCACCUCGUAUGGUGCUUGAAUAAUGAAGUCUGCAUUUUCAAUGAGAAAAUUAAUACCAUAAAUAACGCAUAAUAGGACAAAACUUUCUUGAUGUGCUCUGUUAUGUCACUAAGCAAGGGUGUACUGCAAGGACCAGUGAAAAGUCUUCAAAUUUUAGAGUUAGAACAAAACUUGCCGAUUUUAUAAUUAGAGAAUUACUAAUCACACAGUGGAUAUAUGUCUAGACAAAAUAAUAAUAAAACAGGUCUUUUCCCUCUCCAGUCAGAAGAUAUGAAUUAUCUAAGUAUGCAUCAAUUUGUUAUUGUUAAGGUCAUUGCAGGUUACUGUCAUUUUCCCAUGUUUAAUUUUUAUGGUAUAUUGCAGGAAUGCUAUGUCUGAAGUGGAAACUGAGACCAAUCCCAUAGACCGUGCUGUAGCUCAUUUACUGUUUCAUAGACCUUUGGAGUUGUCAGGAAAGCAUCCUGAUACUCCUGAAUCACCUGCUUCUACUAAGCUCCCAAAUGAACAGAAAUUAGGCAUGGCAAAACUGUCAAUGGGUUGCUUGCCCGAGGCUCUAAACAGCAAACAGAUCUUUUUUCACCAAGGAUCUAAAGAUCCCUACCCACUGGCUGAUCCCCAGCCUGUCAGUCAAUGUAAAAGCACAGUUUGCAUUGACACCUCAGAUAAUACACCAAACAAUGGGCCUGCAGAUGAGGGAUCCAAGGAUGUGGAAGCCUCUCAAUGAGCAAAUAAAAAAGUUAUGCACUUAAGAAUUUCAUAAGGGUAAUUCCUUCCUUUAUCUCCUCCAUGAUUAUAUCAUGCUUGUAUUUACAAUAUGCGCGGAUUUACUGGUAAUGCGGAUAAUUUCUUUUGUUAGCCCAAAUUUAAUCCUUGUCAAGUGGGAGUUACUGGGGCUUAAACAAUGAUAUUCUGGGGAAUUCAAACAAAGCUGGCAGCUGUUGGAAGUGUUAUAGUUUGAUAACGCUAUUUAUCUAGAAUCCGAAUAUUGACUGGGCUUUAUUCUCUAUUAGUGCUCAAGUUGAUUACUGUUUAGCGUGUGUAAUCGGUCCAUUCCACGCUAUUGUGUGAAAGAUGAAGCUACUUGAUAACAUCUUAAAUAUGUCUUAGCAGACUUGAUUGUGGCUUACUCUCUCAGAGUGACAAUGACCUGUCUUUUCAAUUUUCAUCUUCCUGAAUUUUUAUUUGCAAAUAUUAGAUGAUUCAUUUUCAAGUUUCCUUUGGUUUCUUUGACAAAACACCGAAUCUUUGUCUGAUAUUAAAUUUUUGUCUUCAUUUUCUUUUUUUUUUUGGAAGGGGGGUUGGGGGGAGAGGCUCAUGGUUCUACAUUCUCAUUUUAAAGAAAUUCCUUUGUGAUUUUUAAUAAUCACGAUAUACCAUUUGUGAUUUUAAUCAUUUUGUUUUUAUUGUCUUUAUUGUUUUGUUCAUGUUCAUUCAAAGAAAUUUAUUUAUGUUCAUUCAGGAGUUCUGAGUUAAGAAUAAAGAAAUCAAUGUGAUUGGAGUAAUAAAAAUUAGUGAAUCAUUGAAUGUAAUGAGUCGUUAUGAUAAAUUGGUCCCAUGCGCACGAGAAUUUUUUAUAAUGGCAUAAACUAAAUAAAAAUAUUCAAUUUAUGAA